CCAAGAUAAUCAAGAAUUAAGUUUCCCAAUCCAAGAACUCUCCAGCAAAUCAUCAAGGUUUCCUUUCUAAGGUAUGCGUGUGUUCAUUCAUGGACUCCUUUCGUCCAUGAAGUUCAAGAACCCUUUUCUAAAACUAUAUAUUAUGGUUUUCAUGUUAUGAAUGGAUUGUUGAUCAUGUUUAUGUGUUGAAUGAUGCCAAGAUAGAAUCUUUAUGUG
RNAcentral lists this long non-coding RNA (216 nucleotides) under Capsicum annuum. RNAcentral's name for it is "long non-coding RNA (CANN_LNC004654)". Lineage: Eukaryota; Viridiplantae; Streptophyta; Magnoliopsida; Solanales; Solanaceae. The record is from RNAcentral.